RNAcentral lists this ribosomal RNA (253 nucleotides) under uncultured bacterium. RNAcentral's name for it is "partial 16S ribosomal RNA". It matches the Rfam family "Bacterial small subunit ribosomal RNA", at positions 524 to 776 of the family's 1533-position model. The record is from RNAcentral.
UACAGAGGUCUCAAGCGUUGUUCGGAAUCACUGGGCGUAAAGCGUGCGUAGGCUGUUUCGUAAGUCGUGUGUGAAAGGCGCGGGCUCAACCCGCGGACGGCACAUGAUACUGCGAGACUAGAGUAAUGGAGGGGGAACCGGAAUUCUCGGUGUAGCAGUGAAAUGCGUAGAUAUCGAGAGGAACACUCGUGGCGAAGGCGGGUUCCUGGACAUUAACUGACGCUGAGGCACGAAAGCGUGGGUAUCGAACAGG